RNAcentral lists this ribosomal RNA (236 nucleotides) under uncultured bacterium. RNAcentral describes it as "partial 16S ribosomal RNA". It matches the Rfam family "Bacterial small subunit ribosomal RNA", at positions 541 to 776 of the family's 1533-position model. The record is from RNAcentral.
UUGUCCGGAAUCAUUGGGCGUAAAGAGCGUGUAGGCGGUCCGUUAAGUCGGCUGUGAAAGUCCAAGGCUCAACCUUGGGAUGCCGGUCGAUACUGCCGGACUAGAGUUCGGAAGAGGCGAGUGGAAUUCCCGGUGUAGCGGUGAAAUGCGCAGAUAUCGGGAGGAACACCUAUGGCGAAGGCAGCUCGCUGGGACGUUACUGACGCUGAGACGCGAAAGCUAGGGUAGCAAAUGGG